GCUUAGCCCUAAACACAGAUAAUUACAUAAACAAAUAUUUGCCAGAGUACUACCAG
This 56-nucleotide ribosomal RNA is filed under the name Chordata environmental sample. RNAcentral describes it as "partial 12S ribosomal RNA". The record is from RNAcentral. Lineage: Eukaryota; Metazoa; Chordata.